AAGUCGUAACAAGGUUUCCGUAGGUGAACCUGCGGAAGGAUCAUUAACACGUAUCCACGUAUCAACCCUUUGUGCUCUUUGUUUGGACGUACCCUGUCUUGAGAGUUUAACUAGUGCCUUUUGAGUUGGUGUGAGUGGUUAAUAUAAGUGUCAAAGCUUGUAUUGCUGACUCUUUAGGCCGUGGCCGCCGCCGGGCCUGGGAAGUGGGUGCAAACCUACCCCCAGGUUCAGCUGUCGCGUCCACAAGUUUUACUUUCUACCGUUACAGGGUCUUUUUUAAAUGUUAACCAUUCGGCAUUGCCUUUAUUAAACCAACCCCUUUGUACAUCUUACUAAUCUUAAUGUUGAUUGACCCUUUCAUUAGGGCCUUUCAGUAUUACGAAAUGCUUGACAACUCUUAGCAACGGAUAUCUUGGUUCUC
This 421-nucleotide unclassified non-coding RNA is filed under the name fungal sp. RNAcentral describes it as "partial internal transcribed spacer region". The stretch from base 1 to 46 matches the Rfam family "Eukaryotic small subunit ribosomal RNA", at positions 1786 to 1831 of the family's 1831-position model. The record is from RNAcentral. Lineage: Eukaryota; Fungi.